This 92-nucleotide non-coding RNA is filed under the name uncultured Ureibacillus sp. RNAcentral describes it as "Purine riboswitch". It matches the Rfam family "Purine riboswitch aptamer". Rfam says of the family: Riboswitches are metabolite binding domains within certain messenger RNAs that serve as precision sensors for their corresponding targets. Allosteric rearrangement of mRNA structure is mediated by ligand binding, and this results in modulation of gene expression. A class of riboswitches that selectively recognises guanine and becomes saturated at concentrations as low as 5 nM. The record is from RNAcentral. Lineage: Bacteria; Bacillati; Bacillota; Bacilli; Caryophanales; Caryophanaceae.
AUUAAAUAAGACCUCCCACAUAUAUGCUAGAGAAUAUGGCUCUAGUGUCUCUACCCGGCACCGUAAAUGUCGGACUAUGCGGGAAAGCAAAC